AGUGAACGCUGGCGGUAGGCCUAACACAUGCAAGUCGAACGGCGGCACAGUAAGAGCUUGCUCUUACGGGUGGCGAGUGGCGGACGGGUGAGGAAUACAUCGGAAUCUACUUUUUCGUGGGGGAUAACGUAGGGAAACUUACGCUAAUACCGCAUACGACCUACGGGCGAAAGCAGGGGAUCUUCGGACCUUGCGCGAUUGAAUGAGCCGAUGUCGGAUUAGCUAGUUGGCGGGGUAAAGGCCCACCAAGGCGACGAUCCGUAGCUGGUCUGAGAGGAUGAUCAGCCACACUGGAACUGAGACACGGUCCAGACUCCUACGGGAGGCAGCAGUGGGGAAUAUUGGACAAUGGGCGCAAGCCUGAUCCAGCCAUACCGCGUGGGUGAAGAAGGCCUUCGGGUUGUAAAGCCCUUUUGUUGGGAAAGAAAAGCAGCAGGUUAAUACCCCGCUGUUCUGACGGUACCCAAAGAAUAAGCACCGGCUAACUUCGUG
This 492-nucleotide ribosomal RNA is filed under the name uncultured bacterium. Its description in RNAcentral is "partial 16S ribosomal RNA". It matches the Rfam family "Bacterial small subunit ribosomal RNA", at positions 29 to 507 of the family's 1533-position model. The record is from RNAcentral.